Molecule: ribosomal RNA, 467 nt
Filed under: uncultured bacterium
Lineage: Bacteria
Description: partial 16S ribosomal RNA
Rfam family: Bacterial small subunit ribosomal RNA
Source: RNAcentral
GAUGAACGCUGGCGGCGCGCCUAACACAUGCAAGUCGAACGAUUAAAGCACCUUCGGGUGUGUAUAAAGUGGCGAACGGCUGAGUAACACGUGGGCAACCUGCCCCUUUCAUUGGGAUAGCCACGGGAAACCGUGGAUAAUACCGAAUACUUCGAGACUUCCGCAUGGAAGACUCGAGAAAGCUCCGGCGGAGAGGGAUGGGCCCGCGGCCUGUUAGCUUGUUGGUGGGGUAACGGCCUACCAAGGCAAUGAUGGGUAGCUGGGUUGAGAGACCGACCAGCCAGAUUGGGACUGAGACACGGCCCAGACUCCUACGGGAGGCAGCAGUGGGGAAUCUUGCACAAUGGGCGAAAGCCUGAUGCAGCGACGCCGCGUGCGGGAUGAAGGCCUUCGGGUUGUAAACCGCUUUCAGCAGGGACGAGGCGAAAGUGACGGUACCUGCAGAAGGAGCCCCGGCUAACUACGUG